Molecule: long non-coding RNA, 21760 nt
Organism: Numida meleagris (helmeted guineafowl)
Lineage: Eukaryota; Metazoa; Chordata; Aves; Galliformes; Numididae
Exons: 3
Source: RefSeq, a predicted model, not a curated record
GCCGGCUUGCACGCCGCCGUCCGGUGGUCGAAUGGGAGGUCCGGGUGGAGUGAGAAGAACUCCGACCCCUUGCUGGAGUCACACGGCGGACGGAUGCUGCUGACUGAAUACAGGUUUCCCCACCGAGGGGCCCCUGUAGCUUGGCAUUCUCACUGCAUUUGGACUCUGUGUACUUAGUUGGAGAAAGGGUCAGGAUUUCAUACUGAGGUAUGGAGCUUUUCAGCAUAUUUAUUAGUUUUUUUUGUUUUCUUUGGCCUAUGAGAUGUUUGCAAAUUUAAAUGUUAAGUCAAUAAGAUAAAUAUAUUGCCUUCAUUUUAAUAUAUCAAAAUUAUCGGCACCUAGAGACGAGCUGGUUUCAUUAAACUAUACUACUAAAUCUGCAUGAUUUGGUAUUUUAGUUAAUUUUGCACAAAAUGUGGUCCAAGUAGAAGUAUGAUACCUGACAGCAGGAGAGAAUUUAAGAUCUGCCAGUUCUUCAUACUCUGUUGGGUAUUUGAAAAUCAUGCUUUGUUCUUUCAGCUCUGACUGUCACUGGUCAUUAAUCAUCAACAGCACAGAUCCUAAAAUCGGGGUCUCAUAUUUUUUCUGUAAAUGGAUAAGCGCUAAAACUUAGCUUUCUUCUUUUUUUCUUUCCUGCAGUUUAAUAAUAAUCACAGUUACUGGCUCAGCAGCACUGACAGAAGUAAACAUUUGUUUUGCCACUUAACUAAAUGCAUGUGACUCAGGAGCUACAUAGGCUCAUAUACUGUAAUGCAUGCAGUCUACACAUAGAAACUUGCAUCAGGAUCAACAAUAAGUUGGCAUGUCAACAAAUUCAAAUUUACAGUAGCUCAUGAGACCUCACUGAGCUGUGAAUUGGGCCUUGCGAUCGUGUACAGUCAGGAGGAAACUGGUAUGGACAAUCAUUUUACAAACUGUAUGAGCUGCAAAACAAUUCCACUAUAAGUCUCAAGCUAUUAAAAUAUGUCAUACAAAUUUGAAACUCUGAAGUGACUUGCAUAAAGUAACACACUUUACACUCGUAAACUCGUAACUACCUCUCUAGUCAUGUGUUUGCUGUAUGGACAAUAUUGACUGAAUAAUGAAAUCUGUUAUUAAGUCUAAUAGACCUGUGUUGGUUCAGACAGUUUUCUAUUUCUAAUGGACUAUUCUUCAGUUUUAGCUGUAGAAAACAAUAAUUUAAAGUGCUGCCUCAGAUCUAUCCAUGUACCAAAUUUUCUUUCUUUUUACAGUUUGAAAAAUUUAUGAUAUUAAUUACUGCAAGCAAUUGAGAACAGAGGUCCAAUGGAAAAAUGACAAAUUAUAGGUUCUGGUCUACUGAGUGAACAUGAACUUCAAUAGCUAAAAUUUCUCCUUCAAUAUGUAUUUUAGUUUAUUCCCUUUGUCCAUAAAUAUUUUUGUAAAUAUGAUUUUUUGAAUAGAUAAAUACAGGAAAAUUGUAGUACAAGAACAAAUUACAUAUUCAUUGCUAUGGACAAAAUGAUUUAACAAAUUAAACUAAAUUCCAUAAAAAUCACAGUUUUCAAAUUAUUUUAUUUGUACUAACAUAUGGAUAAAUAAUUGCAUUACAGUGAAUCAUAGAACAACCAUAAACUCACAUUAUAUUCUGAUUUUGUACAACUGUUUUAUAUCUUUCUGAUAGAAUCUUUAAUGUUCUGAUAUAAUGCUGAUAUAAAAAAAAAUACAUAAAUAGCUAAAAGAACCUUGCAAAAUUGAUUUAAAAUAAAUUCUUGAAACAUUGAAAUUGUUAAUUUUGUCAUGCUCUUACAGCCUUUUUAUAAAAGGUGAUUAUGUGUAUUUGAAUGUGUUGUUAGUUCAAAAAUUAUGGCAGUUUUGCAACCAUUUUCUACAUGCAGCUACAUUAUUUUCAAACAGUAGUUCAAGAAUUUUAAGGAUUUCACUUUUUAAAAAUAGUAAUUUUUAAACAUACAGUAGCUUAUUUUGUGAGCUGGAUGUAUUUUGUGGCUUCAGCUGCAGCACAGGAUCUUCCGAGAUUUCCAGGAAUAUUUAACUGUGUUUUAGAACUAAAUACAACAUCUAAUACUGAUGAUGAGAAUAGGAAAAUUUAGUAGUUAAAACUACACCAUCCAGCUCUGACUACUUCAAGUAAACAAACAGCCUUUGCAGUGUUUGAAUCAAGGCAAUUUCAGUAACAUAGUUUUGUCAGCUUUGCUUCCAGAUUACGUGCAUUUCUGGAAAACAGCUCAAUACAUACUAAUAAGAGGCCUAACUUGCGUCCACCACUACUGAACUGCAAACCAGUAAACAUUUUAUUCUCCAUUUCUGUAAUGAAGUGGAUGAUUUUAAAGACUAGUUUUAGCCACUCCUCUAAUAUAUUGUACAUUGAAGCAAGUGUAGUAUUUGGAAAUUAAGUUGAAAAGUAGAGUUUCAUUUCUGUUAUGGAGUGUUUAUAAGCCCAUCUCAGCUUGUAAACUGUGUUAUUUUGUUUCUGGAUUCUGACAUUAUCUUCAGGCAGGCUCUUCAUCAGCUCUUCAUCAAUUCAUUAUUUUAGUCCCAAAGAAUCCUGAAGAGCUCUUUUUUAAAUGUGUGAUACCUUGAAAUUAAUAAUCACAUUUUAUAGAUUCUUUGUAAGCCAAAGGUCCCUUGGUCUCUUCUCUACUCAUAUAUUAUGUGUUAAACAUUUUCUGGUGCUAAUCCAGUUUCAGUGGCUGAUGAAAGACUGUGAAACAUAUCCUGGAUAAGAAUGUCAAAGCCUAAAAUCUUUUGAUGUGUUCUUCAGUGAUGAAAAGAUAUCUCUAAAACAGACCAUAACAAUUCAGCAAAAGUAAACUCUUCUAUAAUGUAGUUGAUAGGCUUGAUCUUAGUAGUUGGAGGUACACAGACUGAGUCUCCUAUUACACCUGUAUAUUCUUUCUUUUGAAUGUAGGAUAAUUCAGGUGUGGUUGAAAUCUUCUGUAGAGAAGCAGAAAAAGAAAAUACAAAAGAGUAAAUUGUAUGUUUUUCUCUCCUCCAUGGAACUUAAGCAGAUCUCCUGCUUGAAAAAGAAGGUGGAAAUGGCAACUUUGACAAUAAACAUUUCUCUUGUGGCCGUCACUAUUAAUAGUAAGUCAGUAAUUUGAUUGCAGUGGUAAAUAUUAGCAGCUCAAAGAGAAAGACAGCUCUAGGAUAGCUUCUUUUUAAAUUAUUUUUUAUUUUGCCUUAUUUCUGUCUAUUUUCAGGCUCAAUAUUGAACAGUGAAAAAUAAUUUUAAAAAAACCACAAUGCCAUAAAUUAUAUUUGAAAUUCAGACUAUUUGCUGAUUUUAGGGUUUACAAUUUAAGCUUCUGUUUUUCAGGAUGUUGUGUAUAUCAGAUCUUUGAAGGCUGUGUAGAGCCUGCCUAACGUCAGUUGACUUCUGUACAGGCAAGAGACUGUCCCUUAGCCUGUUGUAACAGUUGGAACUGCAUUCAUAAAAAUAGUAAGGGCAUAUAAAUCACAGCUCAGUCGUCACUCACUUGUAGAGAUAUUAUUCACACACUUUCUAUUAAAAAUGUACAUAAUUUACAUAGUUUUUGAAGUAAUUUUAUGUAGGAUCACAUUGAUGCAUAUGUAGGUAUAUGUAUACAUAUACAACAAUGCUUAUUUCCAUUUAAUUCUGUAGGAGAAAAUUGUUUACUUCUGAUUUUUUCCAAUGGAAUUCAUAAAGUUGAGUAAAUAACACAAUAGAAAUAAAAUAAAUAAAUUUAUUCAGAUACCCACUUUGCAUUCCUGUAACUUUUGUUGUGUCAUUUUUAGAUUAUGUUAUGCUUCCAUAUUUACUAAGGCAGACCCACCCAUUUCAUGCCAAUCAUGUCUUUCACCAAAUUCUAGAAGGAGCGAUAUUGUCAUCUUCAGAUGUGCUUUCCAAGGCUACAUACAGUCCAGAGGGGUCUUCAACCACCUCUAGUUUGAUCACCUAAUCCAGAUCUGCUAAGAAAAGGAACACCUUGUCUGAGAAACUUUCACAAACCUAAACAACAUUCUGAAAAAUAUCUGUUCUCUCACUUUACUGAAAGCAGAUCAAAUUGACAUAACAUCUUUAAUGGUAAUGUAUCAAAAUAGAACUGAAAGAAAGAUUAAUAAAUGGAUACAUACUAUUCAACUGCCAACUUUUUAAUGAUACUUGUCAGGAAGAAUAUAUCAGAAGUGUUGACCAUGAGAAGGCCUGCAUUCUUUCUUGACUGUUUUUCUCAUGAAGGGGAACUGCAUCUUUCAGCCUCCCUAGAAGAUAUGUUAACAUUCACCUCCCACAAGGACCAUGCUUUUCUUCACUGGGAUUUUUUUCAGAGAGAAAGAAAGCCCUCAAACUCUGAUGUGCAAUAGGUUUUUCCUACAUUUUUCAUGAUGUCCUUCAGGUUAUGUACUCUCUCAAAUGCAGAAUGAUGUGCCACAGAAAGGCCUGCUUAGCUGUGCAUCUUUCCAUCAGUUAUCUGGCCUUGACUGUAGAGGAAAAUAGGUGAUCCCAAUUUGAGAUGUCAAUUCCUGCACCAAAUAAAAUAGCUCCUUGUUUGUGUUUCUAAUUGCCACUCAUCCUCUGCUCCUAAAUCCCAAAGUAAUUCAGGAGCAGGUCAUGAGGCCCUUGAAAUGAAAAAUGCCCAGUGGCUUAGUACUGCAUGCUUGUCUUGUGAAUGCCCUAAUGCAAUGAUAUAUACAUACAUGUUUAUCAACAUUAAAGCCAGUUAGAAACUAAUCACAAAAUAUUUCAGGACAAAAACAUAAAUACGGUUAAAUAUUUUUUUUAAAUCUAUGAAUAGUCAGUGAUAACCAGUGGGAUUUUCCCCAGUGCCCCUGAUAAUGGAUUACAGCAAACUAAAUUCAAAGAGGACCAAUGAAGUGAAAGAUCAGUUAGGUUUCAAAUGAGGUGAGUUGAUUACUAAUUCUUUAAAUCCUACUUUGUGUGCCAGAAGCUAAUUUACAACAUUGUCAUUAUAUGUGAACAUGGUAGAAGAAAGAGGAAUAACAACUAUAGCAAAGCAAAAAAUUUCGCUAUUGACUUACAAGUACAUGGAAUACCUUUAUAAAACAAUAGAAGUGGUCAUUAGUGAACAAAAUAGUCAUGUAUGGUGCAGUCAAUGAGAGUGGUGGGAAUAAUUUUUUUUCUACCUUUUACCAUCACUGACAGUAAUGGAGUUUUAAAAAGAAUGUUUCAAAUAAAAGAUGGAUAAUUCAGAGUAGAUUGAAAUCUGAACAUAUGUUUUCAAUGCAGAUUUUGGGAAUUGAAGAGGUUUUGUUUACUGCUAAAAGGAAGUCACCUGAGAAUGAAGUUGUAUGAUAUAUGCAAAACAGUUUACCACAAAAAGUUCAUCAGCAAUCUGCCUUCUUUAGCAAGCAUACAUAAAAUCAUCAACCUUCUAAAUUAUGUUAAUAAAUUAAUAAUCAAAUAUGAUCUAUGAAGGAUGGGACGAGUAGAACUCAACUUUUUUUUUUUUUUCCUGGGGAAGUAAGGGAUGUGGUGUUUCUGGGUUUUUUUUAGAAUAUCCUGCUAUAUGGUGUACAGAAAGAGACUUCAAACAUAAAUGAUCUAUUGAGCAAAAAAAUCUUUUAUUAACUUAGAAUCGUUUUGCCUUGUGAGGAUGAUAACAUUUGCAGAUUCAAAUUUGAUUAAAUGGAGUGGUAAUUUGCGGAGUGAAAGACAUUGUAUAUACUUCAUGAAUGUAAAACAACACCAUAAGUAAUGCUUAAAUAAAUGUAACUGACCACAAUUUUGUAAAUAAUCAACUGCUGAUACAGUCUUUUUCUUCUCCUACAGAACAAGCAUACUUUCUUCAAACAGUGCUUGACACAAAGGAAAACAGUGAGAGUGUAACUCUUCAGGUUACUAAAAUUAAAAGACAGGAGCUGUAGCUGCUGCCUUCCACAGAGGCAAGACACUACUCCCUGCUGAAAGAAACCAUAUUGGAGCCUUAGCAUAAGAAUAACCAUAUUGUCUGAGGAGAAGAGAAGCCAUAUUGAGUUUUCUUCAUCUACACAAACUGCUGCAUGAGCAUAUUGUUACAAAAGAAAUGUACGUUGAAGAACAGUAGGCUGUCUACCUGAGUUUACAUAGCAUAACUUAACUACCACAAAGCUAAGAAAAAGGUCUGUUUUAUGCAGAAAUUUACACCUCUUGCAUUAUCACAGAUACAAUUGUAACAAAGUUAAUGCACACAAUGAGUCAUAACACAAAUGCAAGAGAAAAGUGUCCUGGAAGAGGACCAUCAGGAGAAAGAGAAAAAAAAUUAGACUUGUAUAAGACAAUGGGAAGCUGGGGCUAGAUGCUGGUUUUCUGGAGAUUUUCUAAUGUAAAUGUCGUUCAGAUGAAGGCCCAUACUCAUUGGAAUGUUCAGCUGUUUUGCACUUCUUCAAAUAAGCAAAACAUCUGUAAACCUAGCUUAACUCUCCAAUUAAGCUGAAUUUAUGGCAUCUUUACAAUACCAGUGCAGAACAAAGCAGCUGGAAACAACAAGUAAUUCUGAGCCUAGCAAUCCCUUUUUAGGGCUUUAUUUGGCGUUCUUUAGUCAGGCAAAACUUUGCCAGUUCGCCUAAGAUUAAAUUUAGAGGCCUCUUAGAGGCCUCUGAAGAUUAAACAAAAUUAUACCAUAGAACACAUGUUUAUAAAUGCAUAGACUUUAGAUAUUUCAGUGAAACAUAUUUUGAGCAGAUUAAUCUAAUUUAGUAGCCUAGUGAACUCAGAACUCUCACUAAUUUCUGUAAUUACCAGGAUUGCAUCUUCGUUAAAUUUGCCUCUUACUUUUUUUUAAUGAUGAAGUAAAUUGACUUUUGUUUCCAAAUUAAAUUUAAUAACUACAUUCUGCGACAAUUCUUGCACUUGUGAGUUGUAUGUGUAGGUGACAAAUCUCCUUUUGCCCUUAGCUACAGGAGUCCUGAGGCAUGGUCCUGAAAUACUUACAUUAAUAAAAAAAGAGGCCAUGGACAUCAGUAUGUUGAUGUACAGUUCAAUUUCAUACAGCUUUUCUUUAUGAUUGUCAGCACAGAGGAUAAUUUGAAAUAGCUUUUACUCUUUUUUUUUUGCAUCUGUUCUGUAUGAGUCAGCGGCCUUUAGCAGACCCAAACAACAGAGGCUUCUUAUUCCUUCAAGAAGAGACUCCCCUUUUUGAUCUCAUAGGCUAGACCUGUGCUAAGGAGUGUAAUGUUGGGCCUAGCUGCCAGUCUGAGAGCAAAUAUGGCAGCUAUGGCUAACCUAUCUUCUCCAUAAAUAAAAAAUAAAAAAUGGGUGACCUAGUCAAUACUGACUAUUGGGAUCAAACCCUGCCAUGUACCAUCCUCUGGAUCGUGUCCAGGAGCUGACUGACAGAGUACUUGUUGCCUCAUGCCAGAGCUGAGUAGUUACUGCUAUUGCAUGGCAGUGUUUGUGCACCUGUAGCCAUGGAGCAGUGCAGUAAUGCUUGCAUGGAAGCAGUACAUUUGUCAGAAGGCUGAAAUUCCUAAAUAAGAAAUUGCACAUCUAAAAUAAACAGGCUCAACUGUCCAACUCGGCAUAUAAACUGGUCUGUGCCAGGAUUGUUUCUGGCUUUUAUUUCUUGCUCCAAUGAGCCAGGACCAGGGUCCAGCAGAUACUUCUCUGUGCUUGGGAAUUACUGAUAUCACUGACCUACAAGAUAAGCUUCUUGUACCUUUUCUGGGUUGCCCUGAAUCUUGUUUGGUUUGCUACGGCAGCAUCAUUUCACCAGGAAGACUGGGAAGUCAGUAUCUACAUGCUGAACAGCCUAAUGUCUGCAACAUAAAUUCAUGGGAGAAUGUGUUGUAUGCUUGUAGCUAUAUGUGUGAAAGGUCUGAAUUUCCCUACCAGCAGUGUCUGGAUCCAGAGUUUUGAUUUCAAUUCUAUUCCUCUGCUUCAUAUAUAAACCUGAAUUUAGCAAUUAAAUGAGUACUUCUGCAUUCUAGGCCCACGAGCACUUCUUCAUACAAAUGAAAAACCAGGUUUGGAAAUUCUCCUCUCUUUGGGAAUAUUUGACACUAGAAUUCCAGUUCCAGCAUUUCUCUGAUGGUCUGAAGUCUGGAAAACAUGGGUGUCCUAUAUCAUACAAAGAAAAAGACUCACUCAAAUUCAUCUCCCACUGGGGAUAUGAAUUGCUAUGUGUAUAACCAGAUGAUUAAUGUGGUUUUAUGCAGCUUUACCUUUAUUCUGGCAUAUCAUAAAUCUGUGGUACCACAUACAUGCACAAGUACCACAAGUACUGUGCACAAAUACACAACGUCUAAUCUGAUGUCUCAGAGACAGAAACAUUUCAGGUGAUACAGUUCUAUAAGGCAAUGUCCUCAAAAGUUACUGAGGUAUUAGUUUAAUAAGUUUAAUAUGAAUUCCUAUCUUGCAUUUCUUGUUAACAAAAUUAAUGUUUGAAAUAAGCCCAGUCUCUACUGUUACUCAAAUAAAAACUACAACCUGGAAAAGAAUCAGAAUCUUUUCUGAAUUCUGUAGGAUCAGUUGCAACUUCAGCAUGUAUUAUCUUUGUAAACCAAUACCUUCACUGUGUAAUACGUUAAGUAAAUACAGCUUGUCAUUUACAAGGUGUCUCCUCCCACUGACUGUCAAAUGAAGCACAAAAAUGUUAAAAAAAAAAAAAAAGACUCCUCAGUAGCUUCAUGAGUAGUUGUCCACUUAUUCCAGAGAUCAGUAAAAUGUUUGGCAAGAAAAGCAUGGACUGAAUACAAGUACUCAUUCACAUGUCAAAGCCAAAAUUGAAAACACAGUUCAGCGGAGUGCAAGGACAAGAGUGCCGGAAAGGCACUGUUGUAAAUAAGUGCAACAAAAUUGUACCACUCUCCACUUUCUGAAUUGAUAUCAUGUACAGCCCAGCUACAUUUCUGUAAAACAGUGUGCCUGAAUGCAACUCAUGAAUGUGAAUGCCUUGUCCUGUGAACAGGAGCCAGACACCAACCUCUGUAUCAAUACACGGAAGAACAAUUGUAGCUAUGAAGAAAAAACAUGUUUUCCCACCACCCAGCUUGUCUAAAAUCUUGAUUUGUAGUGUGAAGGUGUGUUUUAAACAUGAUUUUGGACACGCUGAAUUUUGAGAGCUAAAAUAAAAAGUAGAUUUAUUGGUGGAGUUUAAACUCUCUGGAGUUUUAACUGAAUGCCAUACUUUAUCAGUCAAAAAUAAGUGAUUAGUGAAAAACAAAAAUGUGUGAAGUUCUGUAAAUUUAAGUCACUGCCUGACACUUGGGUGCCCACACCUUCAAAAUAAGCAGUGUGGGAACCCCAGAGUAAUAAGCACAGCUGUUAAGACCAUAUCUGGUGUUAAGAGCACAUCAAGACUGUCCUUCUUCUUCAUAUGGCUAGAUAGUUUUUCCAUCACUUGUACUUCAGUAUUUCUGAAACCAGGUGUUAAUUUUCAGGGGGAUAGGAGGUUUCCAAGCAGCUGCCAGGACUAAUAUAGCAGCCAGCAGUAAACACUGAAUAAGCUUAGGUACAAAAUGUGUACCAUCUGGUUUCAGGAGCCUGUAGCCAAAAAUGUGAGGCCAGUUCCUUUCAUGUCCAGAAAUCUUCCCUUCACUGGGAGUUGUGAAAUGGAUCUUACCUUUGCAUUACCUUUUAAUUCACUGCUCAGAGGAAGAUUUGAAUAAUGGUCUUAAGAAAAUGUUGCAUAAGUGUAAAAUGGGAAACUAAAAUAACAUGCUCAGUUUGCAAAAGAUGAACGCUAUUUGACAAGCUGAGAUCAAAGUGCUUGCUCAGUCUCACAGUAGUCUAGUUUUCCAAGAUGCUGUUUCUCUAUCAGUAAUAUCUACCCGUGCUCAGCACAAACAAAUUCUCCCUCAGAGUUGUCUCCCGAGCUAGUAAGUCAAAAAGAAGUUACAAAAUUAUGCCCUUAAGGAUUGAUUUAAGACCAGGGAAGUGAGCAAUUUGGUCUCUCUUGUCUCUCAGUGAGGCAGUCCUUCUGGGUUCCUUAGGUGUCUUGAGAGAUCAACUGUUCUACAUAAAAAAUAACUUUACUGAAUAACUUGAUAAAAGAGUAACCUAAGACUGGCCUUGUUCACAGACAUGAGGUCAGAGGUAUGUGUACGGUUUGGGCCAACGUAGAGAUACCUGAAGAGAUCCAAGCAACAGAAAUUCCACUGAAGAAAUAUGGGAAAGGAAUGUUUCCUGGAAAAGUCCAAAUCAUUCUGUCCCCUCUCUCAGGGAGUCAUAAGUAAUUGAUAAUUUACCUUCCUUAUCAAAGCCCUGAAGACAUCAGCCUAUUGUAUUGUUCAGAGAAUAAUUAAUAUCUCUUAGCUUUUUUACUUCUGGGUUAUAUAUAAAAAAAUGCCUAUGAUAAGAAACCACACAAUCCUAAUUUUCCCUUACUAUCAUCACUGCUUUCAACACAUUGAUUAACUCAGUGCUUUAGCUGGAUGAUUAAACCCUUUUGAGAAGGGACUGUCAUGUUACUUUAUUUGGCCAGACCAGACUAUAAUGAUUUCUCAGUCUGUAGGCACUAUCACAACACAGAUAAAACAGCUAUGAUAGUGCUUUACAUUCCUGGUAAAUAUGGGGUUUUCUAUACUGUAGUGUAUAGAUAAAGACAAGUGAGAUUUCCCUGGGCUCUGUACAGCAAGUUAGAAUAGCUCUACUAUAUGAUCUAGCUGCAGGUUUAACAGAGAUGUAUUUAAAGAUGGGCAUAUGAAUAAAGAGUCUAAACUAAGACAAGAAAAAUAUAGUUUUAAAAGCCUGAUGUUUUUAUUUGACACCAAUAUCCAGAAGACUUAAUAUUCUGUGGGUUUGUUCUGACUUCUUCUGUGGUUAGCAAUCAAAACACUUUUCUAUAUACGUGCGUUGUAAUAGUAAAGUGAUAACCCUUCUGAUAUGCACCUCAAUAGUGUCUGAUAAUAAAUUCCAGCCACGGAGCAUUUGGAAUUAGCAGUUCCAUCCAGUCAGACUAUUUUAUAAUGCACUGUGAAUAACUGUUUCAGCAAAGGCAGUGAUGUUUCUGCUUUCAGGCACUGAAACUUUAGUGGUAGUAUAAAUCCUGAGACAGCACACAAUGUACUUCAAGAGUGAAAUUUAGUCAGCUUAAAAAAUUUUGUGGUCCACACUUCCAUUUAUCUCUGAAUGUAUGAUAAAUUGUUGAUCUGCAGAUAGAGGAGAGUCUUCUGCAUUGUAUUCACGUAGCAUCUGUAAGUAAUAACUUAGGAAACUGCACUGCACUGAUAUUUUUCAAAAUGGUAAGAAAAUACACAUCCAAAUACCAGUGUGCUUUGUGUCUGGUGAACUGACUGCUAUAUUGCAGAACAGUUGUCUCACUCUGAAGCUGUAGGCUCCACGUUCAAAAGUAGGACUAUACCACAGACUGCAAAACCACUCAAAUAACAGACACGCCACAAAGUCCAACUAGAUCCAGGAGGCUUUCCUGUUACUAAUUUUCAUUUAUUUUAUUAUUUAAUAUAUUUACUAGGAUCUAUGUGACUAUUUCUAAUGUUAUGAAAGACACAGGGAGAAAACAAUACAAAAAAACCACGGAUCUUUAUUUCACAUUAUCUGGUAUAGUUCCCAAAACUCACAAAACAAUUUUAAUACCAGAGAGAAAACAUUUCAGUGAAAGCAAGUACAUGCACAGCCUCUAUCCAAGAAGAAGAAGAAAUUUUAUUACUCACUCUUCUUCAGUGUUAACAGCCAGAGGGAAUACACUUUGGAAAUCAAUUUUCUCUUACGGGAACUUGAUGUGGGUAGCUGCUUGAUGUGUUCAGCUUCUGUAUGGCCCAGAUUCAGCAAGACACUUAAAAGUGCGUCUGACUGUUCAUGUGGGUAUUGAGGUAUGCACUUAAGUACCUUGCUGAACUGGGGCUUGUGUUAUGUCAUAUGUAUUCACAAGGUUAGGCAUGCAGGCUAAUAAUUUUUCCAUUUUUUCUAGGUAGACCACAGAUAAGUACAGUCACACUAUACAUGUGGAAGCACCUGCAAUUAAUUUAUCAAAUGAUGUUACCCAAGGCAAUGGAGAAUACCCAAAGCCAUGGAAAACGUUCUGUUGGAGAAAGAUACUAAUUUGCUCCUCGGUACAGAUCCUGUAGACUGCUGAGAGGAUUUGCAUGGGCCAAACUUCAAACAUACAGGAUAACAAAGUACCAUUUUAUUGAAAUAUGGUGACCCAAUAUGCAGCACUUGCAGCCAGUCUCAUGCCCCACUGUACUAGACACCACAGAGAAAUGUGAGUUCCCUGCUCCAAGUGGUUCACAUUCUUGAAAAGUUUUGUAUGCCAGGGUUAAGGAAUUGCAGAGCAUACAUUUGCCACAAUGAAAUGCUUACCAAGAUAAAUCAAAAAGCAGAUAAUUUAGGAGGGAAAAAAUUAAGUGCAUGACUGCUUUUUCCCCCUUUAAACUGGCUAUUAGCCCAGGCAUUAGCCUAUCUAACCCACAAGUGAGUAAGUUGCUUAGGAAACACAGUGAUUCCAAGCAUCAAGGGAGCAUCACCAAGCAAAAUUUUUCUAUUUUCCCUGGAAGACAACAUGUGAUUAAGAUUGCUUUCUAGUCUGCUCAUCUGCUCUCUCUUACUCACUUCUAAAAUUGUGGCACAGGAAUAACUGUGCCAAGGGUACAAUGUCCCCAGGUGUUCAUUGAGAUCCAGUGGCUGAACAGAAGAGGAACACUGCAGCUGCUAGCUGUUACAAGCCCCAUUAAUGAGGCACAGGGUCUGACUAGAAAAUUUGGUACCUGUAUUUAUAAGAAUACUGGAAACUCAUAUCUACUUCAAAUUAACCAGGUUCCUUACCUGUUCUACCAUUACCUAUAUUUUUGGUGAAUAAACUGCAAUAUCCCACUCUGCACUUCUCUAUCCUAGCAAAGACACUUACAAAACCUUGAUUUAGUGCUGUUUCUGAAGAAAAGACUACUACAGCUCAACCAAGAAGAUGCACCCGUCUGAUCAAUACAUGCCAGUCAGUGCAUGUAUGGCCGUAACAGAACUUGAGCACAUGGGGUAUAAAAACAGGAGAAUAUGGGAAGGAGCUGCAGAUCCCAAUGACCAUUAGCACAGUUUGGGGUUUCAGUUCUUCCACUGUUCACUUAUUUCAUAAUUAUCGUCCUUGGCUUACUUUCAGUCAGCUGUAACUGACAAAAGUAAUUCUUAUUAUCUCCAUAUUGCCUCAGUAUCUAUGCUUCAGUCACUUUUUUUCCAGUGCUAGCUCUGUGAACUGUCACCCUUCUGAUUUUUAUUCAAACUUUCUGUAAAGUUUGAUUAAGAGUGCCAGUUUGUAUUAUAAGGUUGAUUCACAUCUUAGUGGUAUGAAAAUAUUAUGCUAUUUGAAAAAGAUGACACAUAUAUUGUCAUGAAUUUUAACAGUGGAAAUGUCCUGUUCACGCUGACGAAAUAAAUUUUUAGAAGCUGUUUGAGCCAUAUUUCGUUCUUAGUGUAAACUGGAUACAAUGCUGAUGAAAUUUAGUGUGCAUUAGAAUGAAUAGGAAAUGAUCAGAACUGCCUUGCUUCUCACCCAUCUGCACUGUUUUUUAUUCAGCUGAUGGGAUCUCUAUGUAUUUUGAACACUAGGACUGAUAUAAACUGUGAGUUGAGGAUGGGAGAACACACAGCAAUGAUAUGAAAAAGAAUAAAGCUGAAAAUUAGGACAGAAGAUUGAAAUCAGGAUGGAUUUAUAUCAUUUGUUCCUAUUUUAUUCAUCUUGGUUGUCUGAUAAACUACCAAGCAGGACAAAGUUCAGGGGACUUGAUAUACUGCAUGUUAAGUCUUUGUUGUUACAAGGUGAACUCCCUCACUCCAGCUUACUCUCCUCAUCUCCCACACUUGUUUUAAUACAGAGGAAAGUUCAACUCCCCCUGCUUAGCUCCAGUACCUCUUAAUGAGGGAGCUGUAACACUAUGCAGUUGCCUCACCACACAGCAAUCAGAAUUUCAUUGCUUCACACAGCUUGGCUUAUGUCAAAAAGAAUGGUUAAAAUUCACCCAAGUCAUGGAAACCCCCUGUUGAGUUAUGCACAUCACAUCUUAACUACAGGAGGAAUUUUUGUUGGUUUUGAUUUUUAAGUGGUCAAAGGGCACAAAGUAUUAUUUCUGAAAGUUCUUUCACAUACAUUGUUCUUAGGAUGCUGGCAUGAGCAAGAUGAUUUACAUAUCAUAUAGUUACAGAAGCACAAGUGAGAGAACUACACAUGCCAAUAAAAAGAAACAUCAUUUACAAAAAUGCAGUCUGAUCAUACAAAAUAGAUCCUCUAGACCACUGUGGUUGAGAAAAUCUCUUUGACCAACCUAAUAGAUUGCCUUUAACAGUGUAGCCCUACAUUUAUAAAAAUCAGAAGGAGAAGGUUCAAGGACUGUAAAUUGGAAUCCUGGGAUGUAGUGUUAUUUAUGUGCAGCAGCACUUGAACCAGAAUUCCUGGAGCCUUCAGGAUGAGCUUCCUUGAAUGCAUACAUGUACAUCAUAUGGUUACUGCAAUUCCUGCAAGAGGAAAAAUACAAGCAAACAUUUGCAGGCACUUGACUUAUGUUUGCUGUAGCUCGUCAUACCUUCCAAAAGUCUUCAGACAUGCUUUCAUUUUUAGUGUGUUUCUUCAAUUAAACUGAAAACCAGACACAAGAGAAUGCUCUAUUCAAAUGUGAAAAUAUUGUAUUGCAUUACAGGAAGCCUCCAAAUUUAUAAAAAUAUGAAUGUUGUGGUACAGAGGUAAAAGAUUCCUAUUACCCCAGUUACAAGAAAGUUCAAAGGAUAUCAUAAGCAAUUACCACUGAAAUGAUAACGUUAUGGAUAUUUUUCUGCAUAUGUGGGGUCAACAGAAUGAAAUGGCUCUACAUCCAUGAAAAAUUAAUUAUCCACAGAAAACCUGAAUUAUAUAUAAACAAUAGCCUUGAAACCAACACAUUAAAUUAUAUUUUUAAAUUGCCACUUCCUUAAAGCUCAUUUAAAGAUAUAAGGAAGGACUGAGUAAGUCAGUAUCCUUUAUUCUGGAGAACCAACAAGUUAAAAAACCAAAGAAUUUACAGAAUUGUAAGUGGUAUGGAGGUAGAUCAUAGAAUCAUAGAAUGGUUUGGGUUGAAGGGAUCUUUAAGAUCAUCUAGUUCCAGCUAGUUCACCAGUUCCCCUUCCAGUUCCCCUGCUAUAGGGAGGGACACACUUCACUAGACCAGGUUGCUCAAAGCCCCAUCCAGCCUGGCCUUGAAUGCUUCCAGGGAGGGGGCAUCCACAUCCUCACUGGGCAACCUGUUCCAGUGUCUCACCACACUCACAGUAAAGAAUUUCUCCCUAAUAUCUAGUUUAAAUCUACCCUACUCCAGUUUCAAGACCAUUUCCCCUCAUCCUCUUGCUACCUGCCCUUCUGAAAAGGCCCUCCCCAGCUUUCCUGUAGGCCCCCUUCAGGCACUGGAAGGCCACUAUAAGGUCUCCUCACAGCCUUCUCUUCUCUAGGCUGAAGAGCCCCAGCUCUCUCAGCCUGUCCUCUAGGGGAGGUGCUCUAGCCCUCUGAUCAUCUUCAUGGCCCUCCUCUGGACCUGCCCCAACAGCUCCAUGUCCGUGUUGCGUUGGGGAUAGAGAUCGGUUGUUCACUAUUUUCUCCAGUGCAAAAACAGGAGGGCAUCAAGUGAAGAAUGUAAAUCCUGAUCCAAACAAAUUUGAGAAUCUGUUUUUUCAUAAAAUGGGCAGUAGUGGAUGUUGUACUCACGUGGGUGUGAGGGGAAGUUAGAAAAGCUAAUGGAAGAAAAAUCCAUUACAGCUAACUGUAUACAUAGAAAUUACAGCUAAUGAAGAAAAUCCACCUAGAGAUAGCAUAAAGCUGGGAAUCCUCAGGGCGUACUUAUAUUUGCUUUACACUGUCCUUACUUUUCUCCACUUCAUGGCAUGUGAGGCAAUGAUGGGUAGUGCUCAGUGGUGCUAUGCCCAAUUGUCAGGGAUAGGACAAUGCAGAACAGAAUGGUCCUGCAUGCACUAGAUCCCAUCAAGUUUCCCUCUCUAUGAGCUAUGAACAAACAGCAUAGCCAAUCACUUUGUGCAAUAUGAAUCAACAUUUCUAUGCCAGCUCUAUCUUCUUCAUGAGACCAACAUAGUCAGCAUUCAUUCUCUGUUUUAGUAUUUACCAACAAUUCUUUCAGGUGAGAAAUCUAAGCUCUGCCUUGGGACAGACUAUUCUGGGGUACAGGCCUUAUGGACAGGCUGCCCACCACCCACCCCAGUUCACAUUCUCUUGGCACACUUCCCUCCUCACACACCUCUCAUGAGGCAGGGCUCACAGCUUCUGAAAUGAGUGAAGUUUGUGGUCCUCGUUAGCAUGAUCAAAGUGGCGUCUGCGUGCAGCAGAAGAGAUUGUAUUAGUACUGCAAUGCACAACUCUGAUACGUAGCAAGGACCAAUUCUUAAAAAAUGCCCAGAGACAGUGCAGCCACAAGCCAAGCAACCUUGUUUGGUCAGGAGGCACUCUUUGGUGUGAAAAUCAGCAGCAAAAUCAGUGUAGCCUGUACAUGACGAAAACAUAGCACCUCAGAGUUAACAACUCAGCAUUUGACAAGGUAGUCAGAAUAAAAGGCUAACCUGAGUGAGUUCAAACAGUACAUCCAAACAUUUUAUCAUUUACCUCAAAUGCAAGUUCUUCAAUAUCAUUAAUAUGAUUCAGUGUGACAAGGAAAAAAAUACAGUAUUUGUGCUACAUAUCUGAGAAAAUUUGGACUUCUGGGUGCUUUUAGGGAGAAAGAAUUAUGAAUUGCUCUGAGAGGAAUCCAGCUGCAUGUAGAAAAUAUGAAUGACUUUUUAUGUGCAAAUAGUAAAAUCAUUUGUUAGUCUUUGGAUAUGGGCUGUGCUAUACAGAUUUAUGACCCACAAAACACAGUGGUCUUAAACCAGGCCUAACUAUGCUUUCAAAGAUGGUGAUAAGAAAUUUCAGCAUAUAUAUGCUGUGCUGAAUUUUCCAAGUACAGUGCAAAUGUUGGCAAACCUGUUUUCAAGAAUGGAAGAGCUAUAUUGUACAAUUGCUAAAACCCAGCUACCUCCAAGAGCAAGGCUAUGCGGCCUGCGGCCUGUCAGGGCCACAGGCCCAGAAAGUAAGCUCUGUCUGCCCUGCCCGUUCACCAGUGUCUGGCUAUCUGGUCUUAGGGCCAACUUUUGAUGCACCUUUGUGGCCUUCUGUCAGAGAACUGUGAGGAAAUAGCUGUGAGAAGUAGGAUUCUACCCUUUAAUCCUCGGGAGCUACCUUUAAGCUCAGACCUCACUCUUGAUUUCUGCCUGAGAAACAUUUACUGCACUGACUAUGACAGACCAGUGCCAGCUGAAUUGAAUUUCUGCUUGACCCUAAACCUAUCUCCUCAGCAUGGAUAUUUCUGGUGAUCUGGACUCUUGGGUGACCCUGGUUAUUAUCACCAGAGCUCACUGCUCCUGGUAUGGCUUGCAGAAACAUCUCAUGACUGAUCUCAGCACCAGCUUCAUGCCCCCUGCAGACAGCCAAUCUGCAAGGUUGGCCCCAGGUGGCGUUGGAAAUUGUCUCAACAGGUGGCAUCCCACAGCCUUGAUCUUGCCACCUAGUUUGCCCCAGCAGGCUGUCUUUGAGCUGCCCGGGAGGCUUCUGUGUCAGAGAGCAUGCCAAGAUCAUGGUUUUGUGUCAAAGGUUGUAUAGACACAGGCAACACAAUUUAUAAAGCUAAGUGAAGAGAGAGCUAAGUCUGUCCAAAUAUCAGAUACCAUAAUUCAUCUUGAUUAGCAUAGGAUAUUUCAACAGCUGUAACCAUUUAGGCUACAAUUCUGAAAGUCAAAUACUUUAAUCUAAUGCUAGCUGGAGACUGCCAAGGAAAGGGAGGAACUGAAAAGAAAAUAUAUCAAAAUUUCAAACUUCAUGCUAGAAACAAUAUUCCAAAACAUCAUUAAAAUGCUUAUGUUGAAAGUAUCAAAAUAUAACUUGGUUAAAUUCUGAAGCAAAUAUUUUGCUUCAGAUUUCUUGAGAAGGAUAUAGAGUAACCAAAAUACAAUACAGACAGAACUUAAGUUUGCAUCACAAAAAGUGAUGAUGAAAUCUACCACACAACAGUGCCUUAUCAUGAAGUCAUCUAAAAUUUAGUGGGCACCUCUGUCAUGUCUUUUCAUGGCCCUUAUGAUCUCUAAGUGCCUCCAAGUCCACAACAGGGCCUCAGCUGUAUCGCAUGUUCUCAUUUAUGCUCCACCACAAUCCUGAGAUAAGGACAUCUGUCAACAGCUGCAGUCCAUUACAAGCUGCUUAUAACAUCAAUAGAGUACAAAGCCUGGCACACUGCUCACAGCAUGGUUACCUUCUCCCAGAAUCCUGGCUAGCACUGGCAGUGUCCCUUCCUCUAGCAGCCCUGCUAAGGGACAGAAAGAUGAAUGUGGCCUGGAGGAACCUGGCUCUGCAAGAGGGGUAGAAGACAUGGGCUUGCUUUUAGAAGUGCAUGGCCUACUCAGUAAAAUGUCUCAACCUUCUAUGUGCCAACACUCAGUCCUGAACUGUUGCCCAAGCUUUAGAGAGGGGCUGGGGGUCAGACCUACUGCCACUCUCUGGCUACUGCCAAGCACUGUCCCACUCAGGACUUCUCACUCUGGCCUUUCUGAUGGUCAGCUUGCCCAGUGCUGUGCCCAAACCCAUGUAGCUAUAGCCGUGGAGCAUCUCAGUCAAGAAAUGGCCUUUGCCUUUUCUGCCAAACUCAGCUGCUUGUGUGGCUGUUGCUUGUCAUAAUCCACUUUUCCCAUUCUUUCUUUUAUUUAAGUAGGAUGAUGGGCUUUUUUUAACCUCGCUACCAGAGAGCUCCAGCAUACAAACAGCUAAUCAGUCCAAUAAAGGUGUAAGCAGUCUCUGCAAAGGGAAAGAACAGGUGCCAAGACUUAGCAAUGGAAGCCUCUGCUUUGGAAUUGCAUAUUUCCCGUCUAACUCUUUCCCUGUCUGAUGUAUUCAUAUCUGCUUGUACUCACUGCUCAGCCUCACAAGUCACAUUGCAGGUAGGAUACAGAGCCUGACCUUCACUGUCUAGCCAGUGUCCAGGAACCAACGUCUGCUGGUGUAGCCCCUCACACCUCAUGGUGAUUGGCAUUGUGCAAACUAGUCUUCCAGUGAGAGGAGGGGAAAGGUCUGGGGCCUUGCACUAAGCUCCAUAAAUCUGAAGCUGGGUAUGCAGCAUGCUAUACUUAUCACUUUUAUCCAGCAUGGACAUGCUUUGAAAUAAUAUUCAUUUUUCACCACGUAAGUGUCAGUGUAAUGCAGCUGAGUUAUUGAAAUAUUGACUAAGGCCUUCAAUGCCCUUUUGAACUACUAGCACUAUUUAAAAAAAGUGGUUAGGUAGUGUAUUCCUCCUCUUCCAGCUCACGAGAUUAAUUACUUACAAAAGAAGAGGCUCAUAUAGCUUUGGAUUACAGCCAGGAUGGAGACUUCCCAGUGUGGCAAAGACAUCAGUAACUGCAACAUAGUGUUAAAAGACACCACUGCUAAGCAAGGAUGCACUGAUAAAAUCAGUAUACUGAAGGAGGUUAGGUCCUCUUUCAGCCAAUAUUUUCUUAUAAAUUGUUUACUAUUUUUAAAGUAAAUAGUUUUUACAUUAAGCUUUCUUCUAAAACCUUCCUUUUGACAAAAACUAAUUGACUAUGCUAUUUGAUAAAUACUGCCUUUGCACCAAGAUCUUAUUUUUCAGUGGCAGAGGAAAAAAUUGUUUGCCCUCUUGCACCUAGUCAAAACGUGUAUAGGACUUAACCUUCUAGUUGUUAUUAUUUUGGCAAUAUUUGAUAUAGCCAAAUGUAAUGGACAUCCUUAAACCAUCUGUCAUACACUAGGGAAAAUAAAAGCACGGUUCAGAAUUCUGACCAGUCUACCAACAUGAGACAGUACAGGGGCUUGGAGGAUAGCUGAGGUUAGAAAGGACUUCUCACAGUCAUCUAGCCCAUAUACCUGCUCAGGGCAAGUUCAUCCAGAACAGGUUGCCUUGAACAACUUAUAGUCAGAUUUUGAAUAUCAAAGGAUGGAGAGUCCACAGCCUCUCUGGGCAGCCCAUUCCAGUGUUUAAUCAUCCUUACCAUACAUAAAGGUUUUUUCUAUGUUUACUUUGAUUUUUUUUUAAUUACAAUUUGCACCCAUUGCCUUUUUUCCUUUUGCUGGGCACUACUGAGAAGUAUCUGGUGCCUGUAACAUACUACCUGGUUCCCAUACUCUACUCUCCUAGUCAAAAACUUUCUUCUAAUUUGUAUCGCAAUAUGUGACCACUGACCCUUCUUAUGUACUUCCACAAAAGAGAAGAGCUUGGUUAUGCUAUCUUUGUAACUCUGCUUCUACUGCUAUUAGAUCAUCCUCUAGACUCCUCUUUGCUAGGAAGAAUAAGUCCAGCUCCUUCACAUCUUCAGACGUGAUGUGCUCUGGGCUACCAAAGGGCAUGGUACUCUCUCCUGUCUCUCUCUGGUUACUCAUCUUGAGCUAUACUUUGUAUCCCUUGUGUGGGCUCAAAAGCAUCUCCAGGUAAAGAGGAAUUAUAACAAUUAUAACUCCCCUUAACCAACUAACCAUGCUCUUCCUAAUGUAGUCUGAUAUGCAGCCUGCCUUAUUUACUUGUUUAUUCUUCUAUCACACCCUAAGUCCUUCCUCUUAAACAUAAAUAUGUAGUCAUUGUUUGAAAUGAAUCAGUAGAUAUAAUGACAUUGUUAAAACAAACUAUGCUAUUAUUGAAAGAUACGCCUCAAAGUUCUUGGUUUCUUGUUCCAGUGACAAACCGAUUCACCACAAGAAACUAAAAGAAAAUAAUGAAAUGGUUCAACCAAACUGAGCAUUGCUGAACCAGUCUGACACUUAAGAGUUUGCAGAAUUGUUUUUCUGCUGGUGCUCAUGUAAGAAAGCAGGCUGUUGCUGCAAGAAUGCAACCCAUCUGAAAAUCAAAGCUUUCUUAACCAAGAGGGGCAGGCAGUAUCAGAAAUUCCAGAUCAAUGUGUGGUAUAUGCUGAGUCUGUUUAUCUCUAGAAAAUUACUUUGAAGUCAGAACAUGGAUGGCACUCAGAAAUACUGAUAUGCACCUCCACCCACUCCUUGAAAAACUCUCACUCAAAAACCAGACCUUCUGCUCUGGUCUAGAUAAGAGAUCUUGGCUGAAGGCCCAGCAGACCUUGCAGUCUGCCUAAAUCAGGCUUGGGUGGACCCUGAAAUGAGAUAUCAUCUCUCUCAAUUCACUGUGGAGGCAGUGGCAUUGAAAGAAAAGGAAAAUGUAGGGAACUGUAUUUAAGCUGACAGUUAGGAACUUCAAGAAAAGAUUAAGGGUUAGAAAAUGAAGAAAUGAACAUUGCUUUUUCAAAAAAUGAAGAAGGAGUAGGCUGAGAAAAUGAUUUUCUAUUAUUAUUAUUAUAUAAAUACAUUGUGCAAGGCAUUUAUUGGCUUCCACUCCCAGUAGCUUCAGUGGGAGAGGCUGUACUUUGUCAGCUGCUUCCCCCUCCUUUAGCAAAACCUUGAGCCAUCUGAGACACUUAGCUCAAGCUAAAUGAUCAUACGCCAAGUGUUGUGAUGAUGACUGAUUCUGCCUGAGUGGAAUUGCACAAUGAGCAAGAGUGGAAAUAAGUAGGUGUUUUAAAGGACAUGGUUGUGUGAGUCCCUGAUUCCUUAAGCUACAGAGCUGUCUUAAAAAACACUGUUGCCUAGUGAUACCUGUCCCCUUAGCUGCCACGACAACCAUCAAACCAGGAGAUUCACAAGCUGCUGCAACCCUAGAGCUUGAGCCAAGGGACAGAGAGGAAGUGCGCUUCCAAUGAAGGGGCAGAAAAAUGUCACACCAGAAAGCAAGAACAAGCUGGAAAGACGGCAGCUUAAGCAGGAAGCACAAGCAAUCAACAUGGAUCUCUUCAUUCCUAGGGACUAAGCACGUGUGCCCAGAGAGACCAAAUCCCAUUUGCAAGAAAUCAUUAAAUGUUGUACAGGGA